CCUACGGGAGGCAGCAGUGGGGGAUAUUGGACAAUGGGGGGAACCCUGAUCCAGCGACGCCGCGUGAGUGAAGAAGUAUCUCGGUAUGUAAAGCUCUAUCAGCAGGGAAGAAGAACUGACGGUACCUGAGUUAUCAGCUUCGGCUAACUACGUGCCAGCAGCCGCGGUAAUACGUAGGGGGCAAGCGUUAUCCGGAAUUACUGGGUGGAAAGGGAGCGUAGACGGUGAUGUAAGUCUGGAGUGAAAGGCGGGGGCCCAACCCCCGGACUGCUCUGGAAACUAUGUGACUGGAGUGCAGGAGAGGUGAGCGGAAUUCCAAGUGUAGCGGUGAAAUGCGUAGAUAUUAGGAGGAACACCAGUGGCGAAGGCGGCUGACUGGACUGUAACUGACGUUGAGGCUCGAAAGCGUGGGGAGCAAACAGGAUUAGAUACCCGAGUAGUC
Molecule: ribosomal RNA, 442 nt
Filed under: uncultured bacterium
Lineage: Bacteria
Description: partial 16S ribosomal RNA
Rfam family: Bacterial small subunit ribosomal RNA
Source: RNAcentral